RNAcentral lists this ribosomal RNA (253 nucleotides) under uncultured bacterium. Its description in RNAcentral is "partial 16S ribosomal RNA". It matches the Rfam family "Bacterial small subunit ribosomal RNA", at positions 524 to 776 of the family's 1533-position model. The record is from RNAcentral.
UACGUAGGGUGCAAGCGUUAAUCGGAAUUACUGGGCGUAAAGCGUGCGCAGGCGGUGAUGUAAGACAGAUGUGAAAUCCCCGGGCUCAACCUGGGAACUGCAUUUGUGACUACAUCGCUGGAGUACGGCAGAGGGGGAUGGAAUUCCGCGUGUAGCAGUGAAAUGCGUAGAUAUGCGGAGGAACACCGAUGGCGAAGGCAAUCCCCUGGGCCUGUACUGAUGCUCAUGCACGAAAGCGUGGGGAGCAAACAGG